CGAACGCUGGCGGCAGGCCUAACACAUGCAAGUCGAGCGCGCCUUCGGGUGAGCGGCGGACGGGUUAGUAACGCGUGGGAACGUGCCCUUUAGCUCAGAAUAGCCCCUGGAAACGGGGAGUAAUACUGGAUACGCCCUUCGGGGGAAUAAAGGAUCGGCCCGCGUUAGAUUAGGUAGUUGGUGGGGUAACGGCCUACCAAGCCUACGAUCUAUAGCUGGUUUGAGAGGAUGAUCAGCAACACUGGGACUGAGACACGGCCCAGACUCCUACGGGAGGCAGCAGUGGGGAAUCUUCGGCAAUGGGGGCAACCCUGACCGAGCCAUGCCGCGUGAGUGAUGAAGGCCUUAGGGUCGUAAAGCUCUUUCGCUAGGGAUGAUAAUGACAGUACCUAGUAAAGAAACCCCGGCUAACUCCGUGCCAGCAGCCGCGGUAAUACGGAGGGGGUUAGCGUUGUUCGGAAUUACUGGGCGUAAAGCGCGCGUAGGCGGACCAGAAAGUUAGAGGUGAAAUCCCAGGGCUCAACCCUGGAACUGCCUUUAAAACUCCUGGUCUUGAGUUCGAGAGAGGUGAGUGGAAUUCCGAGUGUAGAGGUGAAAUUCGUAGAUAUUCGGAGGAACACCAGUGGCGAAGGCGGCUCACUGGCUCGAUACUGACGCUGA
This 660-nucleotide ribosomal RNA is filed under the name uncultured bacterium. Its description in RNAcentral is "bacterial SSU rRNA". It matches the Rfam family "Bacterial small subunit ribosomal RNA", at positions 30 to 749 of the family's 1533-position model. The record is from RNAcentral.